CUACGGGCGGCUGCAGUGGGGAAUAUUGGACAAUGGGGGCAACCCUGAUCCAGCCAUGCCGCGUGUGUGAAGAAGGCCUUUUGGUUGUAAAGCACUUUAAGCAGGGAGGAGAGGCUAAUGGUUAAUACCCAUUAGAUUAGACGUUACCUGCAGAAUAAGCACCGGCUAAGGCUGUGCCAGCAGCCGCGGUAAUACAGAGGGUGCGAGCGUUAAUCGGAAUUACUGGGCGUAAAGCGAGUGUAGGUGGCUCAUUAAGUCACAUGUGAAAUCCCCGGGCUUAACCUGGGAACUGCAUGUGAUACUGGGGGUGCUAGAAUAUGUGAGAGGGAAGUAGAAUUCCAGGUGUAGCGGUGAAAUGCGUAGAGAUCUGGAGGAAUACCGAUGGCGAAGGCAGCUUCCUGGCAUAAUAUUGACACUGAGAUUCGAAAGCGUGGGUAGCAAACAGGAUUAGAUACCCCCGUAGUC
This 465-nucleotide ribosomal RNA is filed under the name uncultured bacterium. RNAcentral describes it as "partial 16S ribosomal RNA". It matches the Rfam family "Bacterial small subunit ribosomal RNA", at positions 339 to 795 of the family's 1533-position model. The record is from RNAcentral.